Molecule: ribosomal RNA, 435 nt
Filed under: uncultured bacterium
Lineage: Bacteria
Description: partial 16S ribosomal RNA
Rfam family: Bacterial small subunit ribosomal RNA
Source: RNAcentral
AACGAACGCUGGCGGCAUGCCUAACACAUGCAAGUCGAACGGGUACCUUCGGGUGCUAGUGGCGCACAGGUGCGUAACGCGUGGGAAUCUGCCCUUGGGUUCGGAAUAACUCAGCGAAAGCUGUGCUAAUACCGGAUGAUGUCGAAAGACCAAAGAUUUAUCGCCCGAGGAUGAGCCCGCGUUGGAUUAGCUAGUUGGUGGGGUAAAGGCCUACCAAGGCGACGAUCCAUAGCUGGUCUGAGAGGAUGAUCAGCCACACUGGGACUGAGACACGGCCCAGACUCCUACGGGAGGCAGCAGUGGGGAAUAUUGGACAAUGGGCGAAAGCCUGAUCCAGCAAUGCCGCGUGAGUGAUGAAGGCCUUAGGGUUGUAAAGCUCUUUUACCCGGGAUGAUAAUGACAGUACCGGGAGAAUAAGCUCCGGCUAACUCCGUG